GCGAGGUUGCUUCGGUCACUGAGCUAGCGGCGGACGGGUGAGUAAUGCUUAGGAAUCUGCCUAUUAGUGGGGGACAACAUUCCGAAAGGGAUGCUAAUACCGCAUACGUCCUACGGGAGAAAGCAGGGGAUCUUUU
This 136-nucleotide ribosomal RNA is filed under the name Acinetobacter sp. HPC307. RNAcentral's name for it is "partial 16S ribosomal RNA". The record is from RNAcentral. Lineage: Bacteria; Pseudomonadati; Pseudomonadota; Gammaproteobacteria; Moraxellales; Moraxellaceae.